UCUUCUCUUCUCAGUUUUCAUCUCCUGACUUUUUCGGUCUGCAGUUUUUCCUCCCCAUCGAAGUCGAUCUUCCGUCCGUGUUCCGUCUCUGGUCCGUGUUCCGUCCACCGACCACUAUCACCGUUUUCCUCCAUCGUCGUGUCUGAUCUUCCGUCUUCCCCAUUUGCCAUCGCCAACACAGUGACACCGGUCUUCCAUCUUCCCUCAUCAUCAUCGACCAUCACUGAUGCCGUCUUCCUAUCUUCGGCCAUCACCAUUAGUUAUUUUGGAUAAGGAUCCUCCGAAUCUCCUUCCUCUGGAUCUCAAGUCUUAGAUUCCUUAAUCCCUAU
RNAcentral lists this long non-coding RNA (329 nucleotides) under Elaeis guineensis (African oil palm). Its description in RNAcentral is "long non-coding RNA (EGUI_LNC007286)". The record is from RNAcentral. Lineage: Eukaryota; Viridiplantae; Streptophyta; Magnoliopsida; Arecales; Arecaceae.